CAAUAGCGUAUAUUAAAGUUGUUGCAGUUAAAAAGCUCGUAGUUGGAUUUCUGGUUGAAGCGACCGGUCGGGCGUUGAUUCGUCUGCACUGGAGUCGGUUUUGGCCAUCCUCUAGGAAAGUGCGUCUGGUAUUAAGUUAUCGGGCGUAUGAUCCUGGUCUUUUACUGUGAAAAAAUUAGAGUGUUUAAAGCAGGCCUUCGCCUUGAAUACAAUAGCAUGGAAUAAUAAGAUAGGACUUUGGUCUAUUUUGUUGGUUUGCAGACCGAAGUAAUGAUUAAUGGGGAUAGUUGGGGGUAUUUAUAUUCCGAUGUCAGAGGUGAAAUUCUUAGAUUUUCGGAAGAUAAACUUAUGCGAAAGCAUUUACCAAGGAUGUUUUCAUUA
This 381-nucleotide ribosomal RNA is filed under the name uncultured eukaryote. Its description in RNAcentral is "partial 18S ribosomal RNA". It matches the Rfam family "Eukaryotic small subunit ribosomal RNA", at positions 592 to 975 of the family's 1831-position model. The record is from RNAcentral.